AUUGAACGCUGGCGGAAUGCUUUACACAUGCAAGUCGAACGGCAGCACGGACUUCGGUCUGGUGGCGAGUGGCGAACGGGUGAGUAAUGUAUCGGAACGUGCCCAGUCGUGGGGGAUAACGUAGUGAAAAUUACGCUAAUACCGCAUACGAUCUAUGGAUGAAAGCGGGGGAUCGCAAGACCUCGCGCGAUUGGAGCGGCCGAUAUCAGAUUAGGUAGUUGGUGGGGUAAAGGCCCACCAAGCCAACGAUCUGUAGCUGGUCUGAGAGGACGACCAGCCACACUGGAACUGAGACACGGUCCAGACUCCUACGGGAGGCAGCAGUGGGGAAUUGUGGACAAUGGGCGAAAGCCUUAUCCAGCCAUUCCGCGUGCAGGAUGAAGGCCCUCGGGUUGUAAACUGCUUUUGUACAGAACGAAAAGGUUUCUACUAAUACUAGGAGCUCAUGACGGUACUGUAAGAAUAAGCACCGGCUAACUACGUGCCAGCCGCGGUAACAC
This 500-nucleotide ribosomal RNA is filed under the name uncultured bacterium. Its description in RNAcentral is "partial 16S ribosomal RNA". It matches the Rfam family "Bacterial small subunit ribosomal RNA", at positions 30 to 526 of the family's 1533-position model. The record is from RNAcentral.